Sitophilus oryzae (rice weevil) is the source of this 935-nucleotide long non-coding RNA. RefSeq lists it as uncharacterized. The record is from RefSeq and is a predicted model, not a curated record. Lineage: Eukaryota; Metazoa; Arthropoda; Insecta; Coleoptera; Curculionidae. The transcript has 4 exons.
UGAGGUGUCAUCAAUUGAUUCCCUGGUUUAUCUAGACUUUUGACAGAGACCCACCGCACGUUGCACUGGCGUUCGUCUAUUUCUUGGUAGUCUGUGUAUUGUAGAACGAAUUGGCCAUUUUAAGGGAAGCAGGAGUACUUUCAAAAAUGGAAUCCAGAGCCGAAACGAUGCGAUGAUGAAUUUAGAACUUCAGAAGAAGAUCAAAUAUCUGAAGUAGCUUUAAAUUCCAAAUUUUGGCUCGAACAUUAUUCCGAAGGUUUUCAAGCAUUGGAUCGAAACCAAUAGUUUCAGACGUACUCAGUUGACCACUUCGACCUUUCAGACGGUGUCCUGUAUUUACCAAUUUUUCCUGUAGUACCAAACCAACCGAAUGACCUAUUUUUCAGUAUCAUUUUGGAUAUAUCCUAAUUGAUAAAGAUUUUGAGAUAGAAUAUCCAGAAAAAGUAAAUAAUUUUUUUACGAAAUUCUCUGUUCUGUUUGACGCAGCAUUGGAGCUUAAGAAAAAGACUUGUGUCAACACGGACAAUGAGUUCUUAGUUAACCUGUACAAGGCGAAUUAUCACAAGAUUCACGAACCCUUAUUCAGACUUAUCUAUUAUGUUCUUUCAUAUGUAAUAAGUGAAUGAAGUUAAAAAAGUGGAAACCCAGUGUUGCUGAAUCAAGAGAAUCGAUUAUACUUCAAGUCAAGUGCCCUACAGCAUAUUGAACAAAUUUUUACAAUUAAAUCUUAAUUCUGCAUAUAAAAAAUGUUGCAUUUACGCAAAUAAAAAAUAAUUUUAGUUACAAAACUGGUACGCUUCUCGUAAUUAAAGUUUACUGUUACGGAUAAAAUAUAUAUGUUUUAAAAAUCUUAUUAAAAUUGGGAAUAAUAUAUACCUUUCUAUUCUAAAUUAUAAUUUAUUUAUCACAAUUAAAUCAAGAUAUUCUUGUUGACA